This 253-nucleotide ribosomal RNA is filed under the name uncultured bacterium. RNAcentral describes it as "partial 16S ribosomal RNA". It matches the Rfam family "Bacterial small subunit ribosomal RNA", at positions 524 to 776 of the family's 1533-position model. The record is from RNAcentral.
GACAGAGGUGCCGAGCGUUAGGCGGAAUCACUGGGCUUAAAGCGUGUGUAGGCGGACCGUUAAGUACCUUGUGAAAUCCCCCGGCUCAACCGGGGAACGGCUGGGUAUACUGGCGGUCUUGAGCCAUCCAGGGGCAGUCGGAACAGACGGUGGAGCGGUGAAAUGCAUAGAUAUCGUCAAGAACACCUAUAGCGAAGGCAGCUUACUGGGCUGUAACUGACGCUGAGGCACGAAAGUGUGGGGAUCAAACAGG